Molecule: small nucleolar RNA, 135 nt
Organism: Capra hircus (goat)
Lineage: Eukaryota; Metazoa; Chordata; Mammalia; Artiodactyla; Bovidae
Gene: SNORA70
Rfam family: Small nucleolar RNA SNORA70
About the family: snoRNA U70 seems to be exclusive to mammals and is a member of the H/ACA class of snoRNA which contain H (ANANNA) and ACA box motifs. H/ACA box snoRNAs are involved in the conversion of uridines to pseudouridines (5-ribosyluracil) a constituent of structural RNAs (transfer, ribosomal, small nuclear, and small nucleolar).
Source: Ensembl
UUGCAGCCAGUUAAGCCAACUGUGUUCUUUUCCCCAUGGAGGGCUGGUGUGUGAUGGUUGCAAACAGCAGCCUCCUCUGCAGUGUGUGCAGCCUGCUGCCUGUAAGCAUUGCUUUAAGGAACCCUGGAGACAGCC